Paramuricea clavata is the source of this 998-nucleotide non-coding RNA. NCBI's taxonomy places the organism in Eukaryota, Metazoa, Cnidaria, Anthozoa, Malacalcyonacea, Plexauridae. The record is from the annotation of a GenBank genome assembly.
UAUAUUUAUCCAAUUGCACAUAUAUCCAAUUCACACAUCGAACAGCUAUAUAUACAGAUUACGAAAGCAUAGAAUAGAACAAAGGUAAGCACUAGAAUUAUCCACAUGGGUAAUUACAUAUAAUUCUAAUUUGUCUAACUUUCAGUGACAGCAGCAAACGUUUUCGCGAAGAAUAUUUUUGGCACAUUUUAAAUGCCGCGUAUAUCUAUAUACGAUCUGCGCGAAUUCUCAUACAGCGCGCAUUUAAAUAGUCCAGGGCGCGAAAUAACGGCCGGUCAACGGAUAAUGUCCGGCCAGAAUGCGGAGUUGUCAAAUUCUUACCUUGCAUGCCGGUCAUUUUGACCCGUCACUUUCGGUAAAAGAACAAACUAAUCUUCAUUUGAAAUUAAUACUCAAAAUAAAGUUGUCAAGCAUUAUAAAAAUAAUUAUAAUUACUGCCGAUGCAAUGGAAGUGUUGAUAAAAUAUUGCAUGAAUUCAUUUCCUCAAGUUGAUCAAUUCAUACGAAUUCAAAUUUCUUUUUACUUCCUGUGCGUUUCCUAUAUUAUAUUGGUCAAUCGGUUCUGAAAUGAAAUCUAAUUGGCUCAUCUAAAAGUAACAGGAAGUUGAUCAAUUUUCUAUCAAAUGAAUUGAUCAACUUGAGGAAAGGAAUUGGUGCAAUAUUUUAUCAACACUUCCUUUGCAUCGACAGUAAGAACCAUAACAUGUUGUUGAAUAUUUUGCGGCAGCUUUCCCACGCAAGUACGUCACAAAGCCCUUGGCCAUGCUUUUGGCGGUAAUUCCGCAGUUUUGCAUUGCGCACUUUUACUGCGCACAUCUUAUAACUUAUAAUUUCAUCCAUUAUACGUACCGUUUAAAACAAAACAUCAUUUUAUGACAAUUUUAUGUUACUUCAAAACAUCUUUGGUUACAAUCGUGCAAAAAAUUACGUUAAAAUCAAUGUUUUCAAAAAAGGCAUACAAAAGUGUAGCUAGGGUUCCCUGUGUCUGUAGUAUAUUUA